Molecule: transfer RNA, 72 nt
Filed under: Mycetomoellerius zeteki
Lineage: Eukaryota; Metazoa; Arthropoda; Insecta; Hymenoptera; Formicidae
Description: Trachymyrmex zeteki tRNA
Rfam family: tRNA
About the family: Transfer RNA (tRNA) molecules are approximately 80 nucleotides in length. Their secondary structure includes four short double-helical elements and three loops (D, anti-codon, and T loops).
Source: Rfam by way of RNAcentral
UGCUGGAUAGCUCACUGAUAAAGUUGUCUAUCUCUCAAACAAAAGACCUGAGUUCGAUUCUCAGUCCAGCAC